RNAcentral lists this ribosomal RNA (481 nucleotides) under uncultured bacterium. RNAcentral's name for it is "partial 16S ribosomal RNA". It matches the Rfam family "Bacterial small subunit ribosomal RNA", at positions 28 to 523 of the family's 1533-position model. The record is from RNAcentral.
GACGAACGCUGGCGGCGUGCUUAACACAUGCAAGUCGAACGAUGAAGGAGAGCUUGCUCUCCGGAUUAGUGGCGAACGGGUGAGUAACACGUGACUAACCUGCCCCUUUCUCUGGGAUAACGCUCCGAAAGGAGUGCUAAUACCGGAUACGAACUCUGAACACAUGUUCGGAGUUGGAAAGUUUUUCGGAAAGGGAUGGAGUCGCGGCCUAUCAGCUUGUUGGUGAGGUAAUGGCUCACCAAGGCGACGACGGGUAGCCGGCCUGAGAGGGCGACCGGCCACACGGGGACUGAGACACGGCCCAGACUCCUACGGGAGGCAGCAGUGGGGAAUAUUGCACAAUGGGCGAAAGCCUGAUGCAGCGACGCCGCGUGAGGGAUGAAGGUCUUCGGAUUGUAAACCUCUUUCAGUAGGGACGAAGCGAAAGUGACGGUACCUAAAGAAGAAGCACCGGCUAACUACGUGCCAGCCGCCGCCGUAA